Molecule: long non-coding RNA, 1061 nt
Organism: Neogale vison (American mink)
Lineage: Eukaryota; Metazoa; Chordata; Mammalia; Carnivora; Mustelidae
Exons: 5
Source: RefSeq, a predicted model, not a curated record
GGUUCUUGUUUUGUUCUGAUGUUCUUUAAAAACUUGUAAAAAGUGUGUUUCAUCUGCUGUUCUUGAGUUAUCAAAGCCGAGAACUGAAGCGCCGGGAGCUCUUUAGGAGCCGGUGUGAGCCAGCGCAUGUGCCUGAGGGGCUCAGCAGGGCUUUCAGGGGAGGGAUUUCCUUUUGUUCCCAUCUGACUUACAAAUCUCCAACGAUUAAAAGCAAACCCUGCCAGUUAAACCCCACGUCAUUUCCAGCUUGUCAUGGAAAUAAACUGGAAGGUGAGGAGAGAGUUUUAUGUAACAGGCUGAUUUCAUUUCCCCCAUUUAACAGGCGGCUUCAUGACUCAUGAUUCGUUUGGAUGAAAGGUCCCCUUGGCUUCCUGGCCACACACACCUUCCAAGCCCCGUCUUGUAAUGCUCGGAUAGCCUCUCUGGGCCUUUGACGCCUCUGGCAACUCAUUCUAGCCGGCACUAAGCUCUCCUCUGCUCUUGUGGACAUUUCAUACAAGUGGAAUCAUACAAUACGGGGCAUUGCGUGACUGGCUUCUUUCCCUCGGCACGAGCUCUUCCUCAGCCAGAGUACAAGGGAGAGCGCUCGAGCACGACCAGCGUGCUUCUAGGCUUCUCCUGCGGCCGGCCUCGGUCACCUGGGUCACUGAGCACCUGACCACCUGCUCUCCAGCCUUCGCAGACUUGGUGCGGUCUUCUCUCCUGUCUGUCUGGGGACCCGAUCCUUCGCAUCCUUUAGUUGUCACUGAAGUUGGGUUCAGGACGGAGCAGAGGUCUCGCUGCUGCAGCCCCGGGCUCCAGGGUGCCUGCCUACCCCCACUCCGCCCCCCGCCCAGCCUCGGUUAGAGCUGCGACCCCCUUACCAUCUGGGUUACUCCUGCUGUACCGCUGACCAUACUCUGCUGCAACUGCUUGUGGACGAGCCCUUGAGAGCUCAAAGGCUCUACAUGUACCGACAGCUGGCCUGGAUGGGGUCUUUGCUGGUCUGAAGCCCCAGGCACAGUGAUGACUUAAGAGGUGUUCAGGAUGGUCAUGUUGCUUGAAUGCACACGUCAGUCCCG